UGGGGUAUAGCCAAGUCGGUUAAGGCACGGGACUUUGACUCCCGCAUCCGCUGGUUCGAGUCCAGCUACCCCAGCCA
This 77-nucleotide transfer RNA is filed under the name Pseudoselenomonas ruminantium. Its description in RNAcentral is "Selenomonas ruminantium (feces metagenome) tRNA-Gln". It matches the Rfam family "tRNA". From Rfam's summary of the family: Transfer RNA (tRNA) molecules are approximately 80 nucleotides in length. The record is from RNAcentral. Lineage: Bacteria; Bacillati; Bacillota; Negativicutes; Selenomonadales; Selenomonadaceae. RNAcentral also lists the same sequence under 7 other names.